AAUGACAAAAAAAAAAAAAAAAAAAUCAGAAUUGGAGGCACCCACUGUCUCAUCCCCCACCGCCCCCUCGCUCCCCGGCCUACUCCAAUCUGGCUUCCGGAUUCCAAGGACUCUCUGCUCCCAGCAGCUGCCCGCCUCUCUGGACCUCCUCGGCCACGCCUCCGAAGUCCCGGGGUGACCAGUGGCCUCCCCUGCAGGAGAUGCCCAGAUGGAGACACCGAGGCACCGGCAGCUGAAGCAGCCUGGGGUCUGGUGCCAGGGGGCCGAGGAGAAUCCAGGCCUCCUGGGCCAGCGUGUGUCCUACCCCGGCCCCACCUCCCCCUAAGUAGACCUUUCCCAGAUGCUGGGGUAAGAGCUUCUGCUCCAGCGCCCUGGACGAGCCCAAGGUCACCCAGCCCUUGGGACACCAGGCCCCGGGCUCCUCCUCCCCGUGGGCGUCGGCCGGACUCCAGCAGCCCCCUUCACGGGGUUCAGGAAGCGCCCCUCCACGCGUGAUCCACCCGCAAGCCGGCUCUGCAGGGGUGCAGUCAGAGCCCCGCGUCAGCCAGGCCUCCUGGGGCUCCCGCGGACACGCUGCACGCGUGAGGAAGGGAGGUCAGAAGCAGCCAACCGUUCGCAGCCUCACCAGCUCACGGCGUGUGGGCGGGUGUUCCUCCGGCUGUGGAGAGCGGCUGCCCAGAGCCCGGUGCGGUUAAGCCGUGCCUCUGCGUAGUAGGUCGGUGCAAAGAUGUUUACGGAGGCGCGUGAGUUCCAAACGACGCUACUGCCCUGGUAAGUAAUCGCAUCACCUCAUAAAAGAGUUAAUGUGGUCCAGGUCAGCGCUAUAUCUGGGGCUGGGGAUCAGGGCUGAGUCGGGACUAGGAUCAGGCUCAGCCUGGGGCUGGGAUCAGAGCUCAGCCUGGGGCUGGGGAUCAGGGCUGAGUCUGGGACUAGGAUCAGGGCUGAGUCUGGGACUAGGAUCAGGGCUCAGCCUGGGGGGUGGGAUCAGGGCUGAGUCUGGGUCUGGAAUCAGAGCUCAACCUGGGGCUGGGGAUCAGGGCUGAUUCUGGGGCUGGAAUCAGGGCUCAGUCUGAGGCUUGGAUCAAGGCUGAGUCUGGGGCUGAGGUCAGGGCUCAGCCUGAGGUAAGGAUCAGGGCUGAGUCUGGGACUAGGAUCAGGGCUCAGCCUGGGGCUGGGGAUCAGGGCUGAGUCUGGGGCUGGAAUCAGAGCUCAACCUGGGACUGGGGAUCAGGGCUGAGUCUGGGACUAGGAUCAGGGCUGAGUCUGGGACUAGGAUCAGGGCUCAGCCUGGGGCUGGGGAUCAGGGCUGAGUCUGGGGCUGGAAUCAGAGCUCAACCUGGGGCUGGGGAUCAGGGCUGAGUCUGGACUAGGAUCAGGGCUUCAGCCUGGGGCUGGAAUCAGGGGCUGAGUCUGGACUAGGAUCAGGGCUCAGCCUGGGGCUGGGGAUCAGGGCUGAGUCUGGGGCUGGAAUCAGAGCUCACCUGGGGCUGGGGAU
This 1495-nucleotide long non-coding RNA is filed under the name Felis catus (domestic cat). RNAcentral describes it as "lncRNA (ENSFCAG00000050242.1)". Lineage: Eukaryota; Metazoa; Chordata; Mammalia; Carnivora; Felidae. The record is from RNAcentral.